This 450-nucleotide ribosomal RNA is filed under the name uncultured bacterium. RNAcentral's name for it is "bacterial SSU rRNA". It matches the Rfam family "Bacterial small subunit ribosomal RNA", at positions 328 to 792 of the family's 1533-position model. The record is from RNAcentral.
UGGCCAGACUCCUACGGGAGGCAGCAGUGGGGAAUAUUGGGCAAUGGGCGCAAGCCUGACCCAGCAACGCCGCGUGAAGGAAGAAGGCCCUCGGGUUGUAAACUUCUUUUAUUCGGGACGAAACAAAUGACGGUACCGAAUGAAUAAGCCACGGCUAACUACGUGCCAGCAGCCGCGGUAAUACGUAGGUGGCAAGCGUUAUCCGGAUUUACUGGGUGUAAAGGGCGUGUAGGCGGGGACGCAAGUCAGAUGUGAAAACCACGGGCUCAACCUGUGGCCUGCAUUUGAAACUGUGUUUCUUGAGUACUGGAGAGGCAGACGGAAUUCCUAGUGUAGCGGUGAAAUGCGUAGAUAUUAGGAGGAACACCAGUGGCGAAGGCGGUCUGCUGGACAGCAACUGACGCUGAGGCGCGAAAGCGUGGGGAGCAAACAGGAUUAGAUACCCCAGUA